RNAcentral lists this ribosomal RNA (253 nucleotides) under uncultured bacterium. RNAcentral describes it as "partial 16S ribosomal RNA". It matches the Rfam family "Bacterial small subunit ribosomal RNA", at positions 524 to 776 of the family's 1533-position model. The record is from RNAcentral.
UACGGAGGGUGCAAGCGUUAUCCGGAUUCACUGGGUUUAAAGGGUGCGUAGGUGGGGUGGUAAGUCAGUGGUGAAAUCUCCAGGCUUAACUUGGAAACUGCCACUGAUACUAUCAUUCUUGAAUACCGUGGAGAUGAGCGGAAUAUGUCAUGUAGCGGUGAAAUGCUUAGAUAUGACAUAGAACACCAAUUGCGAAGGCAGCUCGUUACACGAAUAUUGACACUCAGGCACGAAAGCGUGGGGAUCAAACAGG